UGCCCACGCACCUCUCAUGAACAUUCUUCCUUUGACAAGCGUCAUACACCGCCUUCGUCCUAGCAGCUGCAAGCGAUGAAGCUCUGCUCGUGUCACACACUACUGCCUGUACCUCGCCAACUAGAAGAAGCCUCGCGUCAUUUGGAUUUCAGCAUUGCUUUGGAUGCGCGCGUUUCCUUUAACUAGCGCUAUACUGACGCAGGACGAGAACGAGAGGAACGCAGUGCAUGAUGGCAGUUGAAAAUGUCUGUCCUGAGAUACGCGCCAACUAACCGAACUUUCUUCUCUAAUUAAGCAAAUCUCGGACAACAGAAGCGCGAAAUAUCAAUCGAACAGUUUUUUUUCUUCAAACGACGACGGCGUUUUUUAGAAACCACUUAUAGACGAGAACGCGGGCAACAUUUUCACGUGUAAGGUGUUCACACGUUAGGCUCGUGAUAAUGGCUUUUACGAUAUAUGCGUAAUUUUGCGUUCCCCAAUUUCUUCCUUUCUGUUGUUUUCUCUUGUUCUCAUUGUGCAGAGGAUAACGUGUAAAUAAAGUCCUCCUUUUAAAAAAUCCUAACGCAGCAUUUAAAAAGCUCUUGACCCGCCGUGCGCAAUUCCACUUCCUGAGCUGGCAUUCUCGGAGACGGACGUUACUUGCACGACACACCAAAACUGAUCAUCGGUUAACUAACAAUGUUGUCGGCUUUAGAUGUCAACAAAGCUUGAAAUUCAGCUAAUUAGUGAAGUUCCAUCUUUACGCGAGCGUUAAGAAAGAACUUGAACAAGAACGUACAAAUAGGUACGAGACUGAACACAUUGGCAUGCUUGAUAUCUUCAGUCGCGUCCUCGUCCAAGUUCUUUCCUAGCGCUAGCGCAAAAAAAAGAUGGCUGAAUAGAAUUGUGGUUUUUAUCGCUUAGUUACACAACUGCAAACUUGAUGCUUCAAUAUUCUUUCCAAUUUAGCGAUUUUCAGUAGACUUUGUAAAAGAAGCUAAAUAUGGCCUAAAUAAAGAAAUAUCUACUUC
This 1010-nucleotide long non-coding RNA is filed under the name Dermacentor andersoni. Its description in RNAcentral is "uncharacterized LOC126527152". Lineage: Eukaryota; Metazoa; Arthropoda; Arachnida; Ixodida; Ixodidae. The record is from RNAcentral.